GACGAACGCUGGCGGCGUGCCUAAUACAUGCAAGUUGAGCGCUGAAGGUUGGUACUUGUACCAACUGGAUGAGCAGCGAACGGGUGAGUAACGCGUGGGGAAUCUGCCUUUGAGCGGGGGACAACAUUUGGAAACGAAUGCUAAUACCGCAUAAAAACUUUAAACACAAGUUUUAAGUUUGAAAGAUGCAAUUGCAUCACUCAAAGAUGAUCCCGCGUUGUAUUAGCUAGUUGGUGAGGUAAAGGCUCACCAAGGCGAUGAUACAUAGCCGACCUGAGAGGGUGAUCGGCCACAUUGGGACUGAGACACGGCCCAAACUCCUACGGGAGGCAGCAGUAGGGAAUCUUCGGCAAUGGACGAAAGUCUGACCGAGCAACGCCGCGGGAGGGAAGAAGGUUUUCGGAUCGUAAAAAUCUGUUGGUAGAGAAGAACGUUGGUGAGAGUGGAAAGCUCAUCAAGUGACGGUAACUACCCAGAAAGGGACGGCUAACUACGUG
RNAcentral lists this ribosomal RNA (497 nucleotides) under uncultured bacterium. Its description in RNAcentral is "partial 16S ribosomal RNA". It matches the Rfam family "Bacterial small subunit ribosomal RNA", at positions 28 to 507 of the family's 1533-position model. The record is from RNAcentral.